GACGAACGCUGGCGGCGUGCUUAACACAUGCAAGUCGAACGAUGAUGUCCCAGCUUGCUGGGGUGGAUUAGUGGCGAACGGGUGAGUAACACGUGGGUGAUCUGCCCUGCACUUCGGGAUAAGCCUGGGAAACUGGGUCUAAUACCGGAUAUGACCCUCCUUUAGUGUGGGGGGUGGAAAGCUUUAGCGGUGUGGGAUGAGCCUGCGGCCUAUCAGCUUGUUGGUGGGGUAAUGGCCUACCAAGGCGUCGACGGGUAGCCGGCCUGAGAGGGUGAUCGGCCACAUUGGGACUGAGACACGGCCCAG
Molecule: ribosomal RNA, 306 nt
Filed under: uncultured bacterium
Lineage: Bacteria
Description: bacterial SSU rRNA
Rfam family: Bacterial small subunit ribosomal RNA
Source: RNAcentral